UUUGGCCUUUUUGGCUAGAUCUUGUACCUUGCUUCAUUGCGGCCCUUGUUUUCCAUGAGCACUUUAUAAAGAGGCCGCUAUUGAACUACAGAAGACAAAUCUGAGCCCCCUAGAUGCAUACUUAUAUAGAAGCAGACGGAAGUUAGAUGGGUCGUGGCUCAGUUCUUUAAUUUAUAGAUGCCUUUACCCUAAAGGAAGGAGUACAUCGACUGUAUAUUGGUAAUGAUAAGUGAAAAUGACAGGCCGCUGGACUGUAUGCUGCAAUAAAAAGACCAUCUCCAAGAAUGGAAUGCCUGAAAUGGACAAUGUGGCAGAAAACAUGGAAGGAAAAAUGAAGAUGAAGCAAGAAAUUACUUUGCUGAAUGGUGUCUCUUUGAUAGUAGGGAACAUGAUUGGCUCUGGAAUCUUUGUUUCACCCAAAGGUGUUCUAAUGUACAGUGGUUCCUAUGGACUCUCACUAGUCCUUUGGGCUAUUGGUGGGAUCUUUUCAUUGUUUGGAGCUUUAUGUUAUGCUGAAUUGGGAACAUCCAUUGUGAAGUCAGGGGCUAGUUUUGCCUAUAUACUGGAGGCUUUUGGUGCUUUUAUAGCUUUUAUCAGACUAUGGUCUUCCCUGCUAAUUAUUGAACCAACAACACAGGCAGUAAUAGCAAUUACAUUUGCUAAUUACAUCGUUCAACCAGUAUUUCCAUCCUGUGAACCACCAUAUGACGCAGUCAGGUUGAUUGCAGCUGCUUGCAUCUGUUCAAUAACAUUUAUUAACUGUGUCAAUGUGAAAUGGGGAACCAGAGUACAGGAUCUUUUCACAUACGCAAAAAUUCUGGCCCUUAUUGUAAUCAUAGCUGUUGGUCUUUACAAAAUCUCUCAAGGGGAAACGGAAAACCUGAAAACUCCAUUUGAAGGUUCGACAACGGAUGCAGGGUUUAUAGCACUUGGUCUAUAUUCAGCCCUCUUUUCCUACUCUGGAUGGGAUACUCUGAAUUAUGUCACUGAGGAAAUGAAGAAUCCUGAAAGGAACCUACCAAUUUCAAUUGCAAUUUCAAUGCCUAUUGUGGCUAUUAUUUACUUGCUGACUAACAUAGCAUACUAUGUAGUACUGGACAUGGGCACUCUCCUAGCCAGUGAUGCAGUGGCAGUGACAUUUGGUAAUGAAAGCCUUAGUUAUGCUAAGUGGAUAAUUCCUAUUGCAGUGGCCAUGUCAUGUUAUAGUGGAUUGAACUCAUCAGCUAUUGCAGCUUCCAGGCUUUUUUAUGUUGGGGCUCGAGAAGGACACCUUCCUGACAGUUUGAGUUUGAUUCAUGUGAAGUGUUUCACCCCAGUCCCUGCUCUUCUCUUCAAUGGCUUAAUGACUCUGCUUUACCUUCUUGUGGAGGAUGUCUUUCUCCUUAUUAAUUACUACUGCUUCAACUAUUGGCUAUUUGUUGGGCUGUCUAUUGCAGGAUUAAUAUACCUGAGAUACACUCAGCCUGAUAGGCCUCGGCCUAUUAAACUCAGCCUCUUCUUUCCUAUAGUAUAUUGUCUAUGCACCAUUUUCCUGAUCAUGGUUCCUCUCUACAGUGAUACAGUUAAUUCCCUUAUUGGAAUUGGGAUAGCCCUCUCUGGAAUUCCUGUAUAUUAUGUGGGACUUUAUCUCCCACCUGAAAAGAGACCAAGAGUUCUUCGAAGGCUAUCUGGUCACUCAUGAAAAAGUUGAACAAGACAGGCCUCAGGAACGACCCCUAAGGCACUCCACUUGGUACCAGCUACCAACUAGACAUCAAGCCAUUGACUACUACCCUCUGAGCCUGAUGAUCCAGCCAGUUUUCUAUCCACCUUACAGUCCAUUCCUCCAACCUGGACUUCCUUAGCUUGCCUGAGAGAAUGUUGUGGGAGACCAUAUCAAAAGCUUUGCUAAAGUCAAGGUAUGUAAAAUCCACUAGAAUGCCUGUAUCAACAGAACCAGUCAUCUCAUAGAAGGCAAUCAGGCUGGUCAGGUACAACCUGCCUUUGAUGAAUCCAUGCUGACUGUUCCUAAUCACCAUCUCCUACUCCAAGUGCUUAGUAAUAGAUUCCUUGAAGAACUGGUCCAUGAUUUUUCCAGAAGAAACCACAAAAUGAAUAUUGAUCAACCUUGCAGACAACAUCAAAAAACUUGAGUAGAAGAAAGAAUGGAGGGGGAAGGUUCUGGUACAGAGUAAUCUAGUUAGUUCAGUAAAUAAGGGUGCUAGCAAAAAAAUGUGGGAUUUCCCCUCCCCCCCCUCCCCCAAAAUAUGGCCAUAAUUCAAGGCAGACCUCUAGGGAAAAGACUUUAUGCCUUAGUUACAGGAGGAGAGAUGCCCUGCCACCUAGCCUGGCAAGAAAUCUCUCUGGAAAGAGAUUAAGAUAUUGAUAACCAAAUGAGUUUGACUGCACUACUGUGGAUUUAAAACCAGAGGAAUAAAGGGUAGGAGCAGGGAGGUUGCAGCACUUCUGCACUUGGAACAGGUGUGACCACUGCAGGUAUAGUUUCAGUAAUUCAAGCAUUGUACUGGAAAAUGAAGAGGGUUCAUGAGAAAGAUUAAGGAAUUAGAAAAUAGGUCUUCCAUUGGAGACUCAAGAUGCUAACUCUGGUUUAUUAAAGAGUGACUUGGUAUGUCUAUGAGUAAAGUAAAACCUGUCUAAGACAGAACCUAUGAAAACCAGAAUCCUGCUCAAAGCUGAAAAACUUCUACAAUCCCAGCAUCCCUUAUGGGGAAUUAUGUGUAUUUAGUCUAUAUAUGCUGAAAGCUAUCUAAUGCAAAAACAAAAAGAAAACUGGGGCCCACUUAUAAAAAAUCGCCUUCUAAAUCACAGAAGUAAUUACCUAGUUUGUGUGCGUACGUGCAUGGUGAGAUCACAGAGCAGUGAAGCUGGAAAGGAGAGAGAGAGAGAAAGAGAAGCUCUUCCUAUAAGACGGAAGACUGUUUAAGCCAAAACUCCCCCCACACACACCCCAUGCCCUGGUCUCCUGUGAUUCUAUUUUAGACAGGUUUCACUGUAUCUGGGAAGGGAACAGAAAGCUAAUAAGAAGGUUCUUCAGUUUAGCAGGCAAAGGCAUAACAAGAUCCAAUGGCUGGAAGCUGAAGCCAGACAACUCCUCCAAGACUAGAAAUAAGAUACAAAUUUGUAUCAGCAAAAGCAAUUGGCCACUGGAACAUCUUUCAAAGUGCUAUGGAAGGCUCUCCAUCACUGACAAUUUUUGAAUUAGAAUCAGAUGUUUUUUCUAAAACAUAUGCUCUAGGUAAACAUGAGAUAAUUCAAGGAAGAUCUACACAUCUUAUAUGGGAGGUCAGACUUAAGACUUUCAAUAAUGCCUUCUUAUAAUCUGUGACUAAAACUGGCUUUUAUUUAGCGUUCCAGUCCAGUGUCCAGUCUUGGGUUGUUCACUGGGCUGGGCAUGCCAACCCAGUGAAUGGGUAAGGCAUGUCAGUCUCUGGAGGACACAUAAGUCAGUGAUGUAGUCACAAUUACAUCCAGACACCUUUUGUUCCCAGGUGCCCAUUCACAUCUCGAUCAGCCUAGAGAAAUCUCUAGGACACUUCUGAAGCAAGGCUCAAACUCAUGCCUCUGGAUAUACAACAAAUGCCUUGAGCACCCUAUCACCUGUAUUUAGAAUAAGUCGAAAGUUUACACUGAUGCACUGUUCACCAGACAUGGCCCUUUGAGUGAAACAAAACCACCCUGGGAAACUUUUAAAUCUCAAGCAAAUCUUCUGAGGGGAAAAAAAAAAUUGAAGAUAAACUUGAGGGUUUGGAUUUCACCCCCUCCUUACCCUCCACCACUCAGUUAUCUGAGAGAGAACAUGGGGAAAAAAAGAGGGGGGAGGGGACCAAAGCUUGACUUCUUCAAUUAUUGAAAACUAUAAAUUCAACUUUCCUUUUUCUUCUUUGGAAGUGUAUAGUAUUUUUGAACAGCUUUAUCCUUAAUAAGCGACUGCUGAACAAAGGUAGGGCAGUGUGACAUCUUAGAGAUGGAAAACUAGAUGUACAGGGCUAGAUAUUUUUCUGCAACACAGGGAGAUUUUCCAUAGCCCACAGCUCUAAGCUUAUGUUAGAGGGGAAAUGUGUAUAACAGGGAGCCUUCAUGCCCAACUAGCUUGCUUCCACAGAAAAAGGAACACUACAUUCAAGUAUUCAUAUUCAUCACAUGUUUUACUUCCCUAUGUUUUACUUCUUCUCUGUUCAUCAGAGUACAGAAGCAGAUAGGGAAGAUGAAAUUUCAACUGGAGUUACAUGGUAAGCCACAAAAGGGAAAGCUCAAGAUGCUUUCUCAGAAAAGAAAAAGUAAUCUAAGUCUCUGUUCACUCUCAGUUAGCUCGUAUGAAACAUGCAUCUUCCUAGCUUCAAUAAGUCUCACAAAGAAUAAGUUUUUAAUCAAGGUCUUCCAUCAUGAUAUAUCAUUCAAUAUAUGCAACACAACCUGCUGUUAAUUCAUUCAAAUUAACCUUUUUCUCUUUGCUGAUGUUCAAACACUUCCCCCUCUCUUUUUAUAAGACUACUAGCAAAGUGCCCACAAGAAUGACAGAUGGGCAGCGGAGACAGAGCUCCACCACCUACCGCCCCACGCUGCUGCUGCUCCACAUGCAACCCCACCCCCCAGCUCUGUCUGGCCCCAUGUGCCCCCCACACCUGACACACACCCACCCACACACAUGCAGCCACAUGCCACACCCACCCAGGCACAUGCCACACACACACCCAGCCACACCCACCCAGCCACAUGCCACUCACACACCCAGCCAUACACCCAGCCACACACACCCAGCCACAUGCCACACACACCCACCCACAUGCCACACACACACUAUCACCCACCUGCCACCCACCCAGCCACAUACCACAUACAUACCCAGCCACAUGCCACACCCACCUACCCACACACCACACCAACACCCACCCACAGAUACACCCACCGACCCAGUCAUAUGCCCCCCACCCAGCCACAUGCCCCACACACACACACACACACUCUGCCACAUGCUGCAUGCUGCACACACACAGCCAUAUGCCACUCCAACACCCCCAUGCCACACACACGUGCCUCGCUGCCUGGCCUACCACACCCUGCAGCAGGACUGUCAUGGCGUCGCACUGCUGUCAAACCUGGAGCAGCGAGGCAAGGAGCAGAGGAGGAGCGGAUGCCACAGCUGCAGCUGCUCCUGCCCCAUGCACAGACUGGGGGCCAUGUACCCUCCUUGGCUCCCCAGCACCGCCUCUGGAGGAACCACCAGGCUCCGAGUGUCCCACGGCCCAGCCUGGCUGGGGCCGCAUUCACUGUGACUGGGGCCUCAGCCAGGCUGGGUCAUGCAGGGAUGCAGCGCUGGGGAGCCCAGGGGGCAGUGUGGGCCCCCCUCCCCCAGCUCCUCUGAGGUGCGCACAGUGGUGGGAGCCACCUGCCCCCAGCCCUGGAAGAGCCACUGGGCUCCCUUGGCCCCAGAGCCCAGCUCGGCCUGAGCACUGCCCACCCCCCCACCCCACCAGGAUCAACCCGGCGCAGCCUCAGCCCCAGUCCCCACUGUGGCCCCCCUCCUCUUCCCACCCCACAGCCGCAGCUGGCAAUCGCCCCCCAUGGGCAGGGCGCAUGGCCACAGGGUGCCACACAGAAAGCAGGUGCGGGGGGUGCACCCUGCCCCAUGUUGUAGCUGGCAGGCACUGCUGAAGCAUCCUGUACCUGCUCCUUGCAGCACCCUGCAGCUGCACGCCAUACCCUGCCAUGUGCCACACUCCCCCACAGGGCCAUAAGCUACAGCCCUUGCCUCCCCCCCUGCACAGUGGGGCACAGCCUGGUCCCCACUGCCUCUGCCUCCACCUUUGCCUCCACCUCACCUGUGUGUCUGUCUGUCAAUAAGGUUCCGGGCAGUGCAUGCACAGUUGACCCAGAGCAUUACGGACAGACAGACACACAGCCAGAAGUGCCACAGCUUUUAUUAUAUUAGAAUACUCAUCUCCAAGAAAGAGGAGACAAAUCAUUUAUGCUAUAUAUUCCCUAUGUGCAGUGGUGUAUGUCUUUUCCUAAUAUAAAUGGAGGCUGAAAUAAUAAUGGGCACUUCUACUAGUCUCAUGGGAACUACAGCAUUGUUUUACUGUUUCAGUUCUUUGAGAAUUUCUCCCUCUUCAAUCCCAUCUCUUUCUCUUUUGUUAUCCUGUGACUUCACCAAGCUUAUGCUUGAUUUUUGCUGCUCUGGAAGGAAAUAGCUAUUUAUAAAGUCACAACAGGGUGGAAAAUAUUGCACUGAGGUUAAACUAAUCCCAGUUUAACCUCUUGAUCUUGCCAGUAUGAUUUAUUGUCAUGGGCUGCUGUGUUGUUUGGUUCUAUAUAUACACAUGCACUUCUUACUUUUCUGAUAAACAAUAGAAUAGAAUGUGUAUUGCACUUCAGCUGCCUUCUACAGUAUUCCCUUAGCCCUGUCUGUUCAGUGGAAUACCAGACUACCUAGGCUUUCAUCUCAGCUGUCAAAUCAGCUUAGAACAUUUAUCUUCUUUUGGUAAUUCCACAGACGCAGUAAGUUACUUUGAACUGGACCCUGCCAGCUAAUAUCUAAGAGGGAGAAAUGCAUGUGGGAAGGACAGGAUGGUUGGCAGCAGUUUACUGGCAGACAGAAGUAUGGAGCAGUGCUGAACACUUGUUCUUCAUUCUUCCUUAUUUUCCUAAAUGGAUCAUCACCAUCAAUUAUUCUGAUGCCAAAAAUCUGGAGAACAAAUGGAGAUUUAUCGUCUGACUGAAAUUGCUUCAGUGGUCACUUCUUAUGGUAUAUGGAAAAUGCUUUUGGAGAUCUUUCUAUCACUUGUCUGUCACACACCUUCCACUGAAUGCUUGUAUCCCCCAUUUGCUCUGGUUCAUGGCCUUGGGAAUGGUUGCUGAUACAUGUUGGGGCUUGGGCCCCCUCUUGGCCAAUGCUCUAUUCAUUAGCAAUGACAGGAUGGAUCCUUGUGUGUGUCACCCAGGUAUUCGGGUCCUAUUCAAUCUCACCUGCCAUGACUUGGUCUUAUCUUCUUUAGGAGGCAGGUGACUCUCCGGACCUCACACCCUGGCUUCUUCAUGGUGCUCCAACCUCCCCUAUACCAUACCCUUACUACAUCCAGGGCCUGAACUGAUGUCAGCGUCUUGAUGUUUAAGGCCACAGACAAUAAUUCUGUCAUCCUUCAUCAACAGUCUUUGAUGAGGACCCAUCUAUAGCGAUCCAUGCAUUUGUUGUCUUCAAGCUGGAAUACUUCAAUUCACUGUAGCUGAAGGUGAAUGUGAUGAUGUAGCACAGACUCUGACUAAAACAGAACAUGGCUGACUGCCUGCCUUUUUCUGUUCAAGUUCCUCCACUGGCUGUCAGUCAUUUCAGAUACUGGUUUACUGAUCUAGUCCACGACCUUCAAUGCUGUGAAAGAAGUCCCAAGUGCACUAAAGAUUGAAUGGCAAGCUACAAACCACUGACACAGUUCUGCUUUUCAGGGAGAACGCAGAUCAAAGUCUCAGCUAUGCUUUGAUGCAGAUGAUAUGAUCUUAAAGCACUUCAUAAAGUUAGGGUCUUUUGGAUGAGAAUACUAUAUGAUAAGGGUUAUUAUGUACUCCUCUUAGAACCAGGCCAGGCUGGGAUGGGAGUUGGCUGUUUAGCAACCACAGUCCAAGUUGCUGCCACAGGGGAUGCUGGCACCUCCUGUAUGGAGGGGCUGGUUUUCAGAGGGGCAGCUGAUGGCCAGGGCUGGUGAUAAUGGUAUUUCAGCUUUUGGAGGGGUCCUGUGAGCUGGGUGGGUCAGAUCCAAGACCCAAGCCAUACUUUGCUCACCCCUGGUUUAGGGCCUCCACUAUUGCUGUUGACUUCCUAGUGGCUCAGACACUACGGUGAUAUACAGUACACUAGCCAAUUGCCCACCAAGAAUGACAGGGGGGAGAGGAGGCAGUUGGGGACAGAGGCCUGCAUCCAGGCCCGGCCCCCCCCAUCUUCAGAGCUAGGCCCACUCCCCCUCUCCCCCCUGCCACUUUGGGGCUAAGGCCAGGCCAUUCCCCCUUCCAUCUGCUGCCCUACUCCUCCAUCUUCUCCAUCACUGCCGCCUGCCAGUGGGGGUGGGGACAGAGGCCUGGGGCCACGCUCACUUCCACCACCCGCACCACUUUGGGGCCAAGGCCACUCGCCCCACCCCCACCUACAGGGCUGGCAGGGAAAGAGCCGAGCAUCCGGCCCUGUGCCCUUGCUCCCAUCAUCCAGCUGCGCCCCCCCCAUCAGGCUCGACCCUGUUCCCCCACCCCCCACAUUGCUUUGGGCCUAACCCUGUUCCCCCCAAGCAGUUCAGGUUCAGGGCCACUCCCCCUCUCCCCCUCUUGCCAUGGUGACCCUCCCACUCCCUCCCUCUCGCACCACUGCCGCCUGCUCCAUGGAGUGGGGGGAAUGCUCCUCCUUUCCCCCACUGCCAUGGAGCCGAGCCUGCCCCCCACACCUCCCUGCCACUGUUUUGGGGUCGAGCCCACCCCCCCAACCUCCUCACUGCCAUUUCCAAGCUGGGCUGUGCUGGGUACGGCACACACCCCACUAUACCCUCUGUUUUGAGGCCAGGCUGGACCUGGUAAGCCCUGCCACCACUGUUGUGGGGCAGGCGCUGGGCCGGCCCCUCCCCCCACCUUCCUCACCACUGUUUUGGGGCCAGAUCAGGCUGGGCUGGGCUGCUCCCCCCCAGCCUUCGUUUCAGGGCCAGACUGGGCUUGGCUGGGCCCAGUAUGCCCCCCUCCACCCUUUCUGCCACCAUUUCAGGACUGGGCCCACUCCUCCCAUCCCUCCACCCCACCCCCUUAUUGACCUGAGCCCACUGCUCCCCACCCCCACUGCCAUGGCAGGCUGGCUUCUCCCCCCCUCAGGCCAGCUCCUCCUCUUCCCCCCACCAUGACCUCAUUGGCCCGGGCCCACUGCUCCUCCCUCCCCAUGUCAGGAGGGAGCAGCAUGGGAGAUAGAGAGAGCAGCGCUGGCCUUGGCCCCCCUCCCCCUUCUAUAUUCACCACCUGCAGAGAUCAGAAGUCCUGACCCCGCUCCGCCCCAUGCUGCUACUGCCACUUCCAAGAAGCAAGGGGGAGGCUGCGCUGACCUUGCCCCCUCCCUGCUCCAUCCUCUGUGUCCCCACCAUCAUGGUGGCACUCCACCAUGCCACCACAUCCUGGCUGAAUAAUGUAUUCACGCUCUGAUUGGUCGUUUCCAUCAGCCAAUCAGAGUGUGAAUAAAGCAUUAUGGGCAGACAGACAGACAGACAAGCUAAGGCUUUUAUAAUAUUAGGAUCCUUACCGUAGCAGGUUGGGGAAUGUUCUUUAAAAUUCAACUCAGUUCUUAAUUGUUCUGUGCACCCUUGCCUCAGGAAACACCAGAACAUAAAAUCAUAGAAUCAUAGGGCUGGAAGGCACCCCGAAAGAUCAUUGGGUCCAGCCCCCUGCAUGAGCAGGAAGGACAUCUGGGGUCAGAUGACCCCAGCCAGGGGACCAUCCAGUCUCCUCUUGAAGACCUCUAGGGUAAAUGAUUGCACCACCUCUGCAGGAGCUUGUUCCAUAGUCUGGACACCCUAGUUGUAAAGAAGUUUUGCCUAAUGUUCAGCCUAAAACUAUCUUCCAGGAGUUUGAGGCCAUUGUUUCUAGUUUUCCCCCAGGGCACCCUGGUGAACAGUUGUUCACCAAGCUCCUGAUGCACACCUCUGAUAUAGAGGUAAGCCGCAAUCAGGUCCCCUCUCAGCCUUCUUUUCUUCAGGCUGAAGAGUCCGAGAUUCCUCAGCCUCUCUUCAUAUGGCUUGCCAUGCAAGUCACUGAUAAUGCAGGUGACCCUUCGCUGGACCCUCUCGAGCUUUAGCACAUCCUUGUUGAAGUGCGGCGCCCAGAACUGGAUGCAGUACUCCAGCUGUGGCCACACCAAUGUUGAGUAAAGUAGAAGAAUCACUUCUUUGGGUUUACUGGAGAUGCAUCAAUUGAUGCAUGCCAGAGUUUUAUUGGCCCUAGCAGCUACUGCAUCGCAUUGCCAGCUCAUAUUCUACUGGUGUCUAUUGUAACCCCCAGAUCCCUUUAAUUUGUAGUGCUGGUCAGGAUAGUGAUGCCCAGCCUGUAGGUGCACUGGAGGUUCUUCCUUCCAAGAUGCAGCACUUUGCAUUUCUCUACGUUGAACCACAUUUGAUUCUGUUCUGCGCCAACAUGCCAGCCUGUCUAGGUCUGCUUGUAUCUGCAGCCUAUCUGCAGGUGUGUCCACACAACCCAAUAUCUUGGUGUCGUCCAUGAACUUGGCCAAUGGGCUUUUCACCUCCUCGUCCAGAUUGUUGAUGAAGAUAUUGAACGGCACUGGGCCAAGUACUGACCCCUGGGGUAUGCUGCUGCCCACAUCUCAUCAGGAUGACACCGAUCCAUUCAUUUGGACUCUCUGUGUCCUGCCCCGCAACCAGUUUCGCACCCACUUGACAGUCCUGCAGUUCAGCCCGAUAUCUUCCAGUUUUCUGAUCAGUACCUCAUGGGAUACCAGGUCAAAGGCUUUCUGGAAGUCAAGGCAUAUGAUAUCAACAUAAAUCCUCAAAUCCAUAAACAAACAUAAACGUAGUCCCUACUGAGUUCUCCCAGACCCUGAGAAGGUGGCUCUAGCUCUCUGCUGCUCUCUCAGCCCCAAAGUCUCCCUUCUCUUUCUCUGGAGUGAGUUCCCUAGUGCUGGGAUCUCUUGACAGAUUCUGAGAGCAUACCCUGACCUGGCAUUGCAGCUAUUAGUAUGGUAGUUCUCUCCCUUAGUUCUUAGGUCUCCAUCCCUUUAUUCCUGGGAGUCUUUUAACUUCCCUUUGUGCCAGCUAAUUAUUCCUUUCAGCUGG
This is an RNA transcript of Alligator mississippiensis (American alligator), 10796 nucleotides long. It is a transcript of the gene named Y+L amino acid transporter 2, with no coding region annotated. The transcript has 12 exons. The record is from RefSeq and is a predicted model, not a curated record. Lineage: Eukaryota; Metazoa; Chordata; Crocodylia; Alligatoridae.